GACUUCUCUUGGUCUCCACUCAAGCUUGAGUGUUCUUUCCUUUCUCAAUCCUCACUAUCCAACUCAGGCAUGUUUGUGAUGUGACGGCCGGACUGCCACAAGUGGCGCCCGAACAGGGACCUGAGUAUCGAGGGAUCCAGUGAAGGACACCACAGAGAAGAAGGAGACCUCAACAAAAAGCAAUUCACACUGCUCUGAUUCUAAGCUCCAAUAUUCUCAGGAUUUGGGUGAUUGUUGUCACGUGUCCAGGGAGAAACAGUAUGCUGUUCAAAGUAACAAACAUCAUGUAUGUGACUGCUCUGGGGCUCCAACACGAGAGUUAAGGUUGCUAGUGACUGCAGUAGUCAGGUCCCCUGGGACCAUGGCAGCAACAGCCGCUGAGUACCUGGACGCAGAUCAGAAUGAAGUGAUUCCCAGAAAGGCAAUGCCCAGGCAGCCCUUCUCGAAUGGGGGCCCAGGACUCUCUUCUCAAAGGAAAGCUUGACGUUUUUAUGCCA
RNAcentral lists this long non-coding RNA (497 nucleotides) under Fukomys damarensis (Damara mole-rat). Its description in RNAcentral is "lncRNA (ENSFDAG00000025004.1)". The record is from RNAcentral. Lineage: Eukaryota; Metazoa; Chordata; Mammalia; Rodentia; Bathyergidae.